UUCUUCACAUGAGAAUCUCAUGAGAAUUCUUCAAAUGAGAACUCAUGAGAUCUCAUGGAAAUAAUCUUCAAAACUUGUUUGAAUUUUUCUCAUGAGAAUUUGUCAAAUGUGAAUCUUGCCUAAUUUGCAUGUUAAAAAACUACCCUAAUUCUCAGGUUAGAAUCAAACGUGAGAUUCAAACAUGAGAUUCACAUGUGAAUUAACUUCCACAAUUUUGGUAAGGGUACUCUAUGUUAUAACUUGUUACCAGGUGUUUUCAGCAUUGAAGAGAUUGCUAUCUCUAGGGGCCAGGGUCUUACAAAACCAAAAGAAGGAGAUCUUAGGAGACCUCUCAAUAAAGAUAAAGUGGCUGCUGUCAAAGGUUAUACUCUUCGCUGGUGUAAGGAAAAUGAAUCAAGUGAGCCAAAAGACCAGGAGUUGAACAAUGUCAUCACAGAGCAGAAAAAACUUAAAAAGGAACAGCAAGAAAGAAAAAAAUGAGAUUCAUAAAAAUAGCUCAUUGUGCGAUUCAAGAUAAGAUUCAUGUACAUGUAUAUAAAAACACACUUAUAGCAAGGUGUCUGACAUGAACAAUUUUAAUUAAUCAUAAUUUUUAUUAAAUAAAUUUAAGUUUACUUAAGAAUUUUUAUAGUAAUCAAUAAGUAUCCUCCUUGAAUGGCAUAGUCUGAGAUAUUGUAUGGUUAAGCAUGAUGAUGGUUAUUUUGUCCCGUGUCUGAGGACAGGCAGAGAUUGACCAAUCAGAUUCUAACAAUUAAAAUUCCGGCCAUGCGGUGCGUCACUCUGUCUCUUCUCCCACCUACAGCUUUGGAGGACAGACGUUUUUUCAAGUUUGUGAGUUAUUGGUUAGCAAGUACUGUAUUUGGUGAGUAAAAUUAUUUUAUCAUGUCUUCAAUGGGCAAAACUUCGGUUGUCAUUCUAGGUCACUCAAUUGUACGUCGUUUUCACGAAUUUUUGAAGCAUGGUGACGAUAUCAGAUAUUCUGAAAAUCUUGGUCUUGAAAGAACGCAUUCCGUUUUGUACAGGGGUGUAGGUGGAAGGAAAGUUCACGAUAUACUAUCUAAGGAUAUAGAGAAAGUCGUUGAAUUAGGUCCCAAGAUAGUUGUUUUGAUGAUUGGGGAGAACGAUAUUGUUCCUAGUACAGAUCCUGCAUUGUUGGCUGCAAAAAUUUAAGCGGCGGUGUCGUUGAUGCAUCGCCGUUAUAAGGUUGGGAAGAUAAUUGUCUGCAAAUUAUUGCCAAGAUUUAAGGUUAAUUUUGGAUACAAUGAAAUAGCAGACAGUGUGAAUGUAAUACUGAGAGCCGCAUUGCCAUCACUAGGUUAUUGUGUGUUUUGGGAACACGGGAAUUAUUUCAUUUCUCCCUGUGAAGGAGAUUGUAGUCGGAAAUUCGUUUGUGACGGAGUUCACUUGAAUAAACAAGGGAAUGUUCAUUUAUUUAGGAGUGUAAAUUUCAGAGGGAAAAUAGGUUUUCUAGAAAAUGGAGCAAGAUUUCAGAUUUAUUCUUUUGUUGCAUAUAGCAUUUAGGUAUGGUUAGUAACAUGUAUAUGUGUUCAUUGUGGUACUAAAAAAAAAAAAAAAAAAAAAAAAUCUCGUACCAGUAAAUUUGUAAGGCAAACCUGGAUAUACUCUGUUAUAACUUGUUGCCAGGUGUUUUCAGCAUUGAAGAGAUUGCUAUCUCUAGGGGCCAGGGUCUUACAAAACCAAAAGAAGGAGAUCUUAGGAGACCUCUCAAUAAAGAUAAAGUGGCUGCUGUCAAAGGUUAUGCUCUUCGCUGGUGUAAGGAAAAUGAAUCAAGUGAGCCAAAAGACCAGGAGUUGAACAAUGCCAUCACAGAGCAGGUCUCUCAUUGCAGAAAAAAACUUAAAAAGGAAUAGCAAUUAAAGAAAGAAAAAAAUGAGAUUCAUAAAAAUAGCUCAUUGUGCGAUUCAAGAUAAGAUAAGAUUCAUGUACAUGUAUAUAAAAACACACUUAUAGCAAGGUGUCUGACAUGAACAAUUUUAAUUAAUCAUAAUUUUUAUUAAAUGGGAUGUAUUUUUUAUGAAGUAUACUUGAAUGAUAUUUCUGUCCUUCAAAGCUUAAAAUUCAGCCUUUGAAUGAAAUUUUAUGCAGAUUAAUACUUAAAUAUUAAAUAAAUAAUGAAUUUUCAAUACAUGCAAUGUAGUUUGUAUAUUUGUGUAUUGUACACCUGGU
Ostrea edulis (European flat oyster) is the source of this 2187-nucleotide long non-coding RNA. RefSeq lists it as uncharacterized. The transcript is spliced from 3 exons. The record is from RefSeq and is a predicted model, not a curated record. Lineage: Eukaryota; Metazoa; Mollusca; Bivalvia; Ostreida; Ostreidae.